AAAUAGGGGGCUUAUAGUGAAGGAAUCACUGGUCUUCACCUUACAAUUCCACAGAGACUUCUCCAUUUUUCAAUUUUCUUGACCAACAAUAAACAACACAGCACACAGACGCACAAGACACUCACAAAAACACUCAAAUUGACAUAAUUCACAUACAAAAAUAGGAUAGAGAGAGAAGGAGUGAGAAAGAUAGAGCAUCGAGGGAAAAUAAAAAAGGGAGAGAAGAGAUCGAGAGAAAAAAAACAACGGGCUGACUGUUCCGGCAGUCUUCAACAGAAAAGCGCCACCACCGUACCAGCCGCAUCGUCUUUCACCUAUUCACGUCGUCAUCGAGUCGUCGAGGCUCCAGAGAAGCUAAAUUGACAACCCAGCAACAGCAACGAGCUUCGUUUUGACCUAAUUCUAUUGAACCUAUCACCGGUAAAAGUAAUUGAAUACCCUUCUCCACCGUUGUUACUGUUCCGGCGGUGGAAGUCUCUGUCUGGCGACCACGCUCAAUUGGGUUUUCCUUGGCUGAGUCGAGUGGGGCGAGACAGAGUUGAGGGUCGAGUUUGGUUCUUUAUUAAGGUUCAGUUCAAAGUUCCGGUUGUGGCUCGUCAAUUUGGUCUCUUGGCUGCUUUUGAUUUGUGGUUCGACUCCUGAAUUGCUUCUCGUUCAAUCUGAGUUCGUAAAUUGCAGUAAAAAUCUCCACAUUAAGGUCCAUAUUUUAUCUUAUUCUUAUUCUCCGUUAAUUCUUUAUUUUGGUGUGUGAUUGAUUGUUAUCGUCUCAAAUUUCUCUUAUUUUGGGUGUGAUGUGAAUGAUUAAUGUGGAAUUAUUUGGUCGUAGAUUGUCGAAAAAUGGUAAUCGUGAACUGUUAUAUUGUAACUUCGAAUGAAAUUUGGGAGAAUUGAUAAUCGAAUAAGUUGAGCAUUGAUUAGAUUUGAUUCAUUGUUGGAUAUGGUUGAAAUUGAAAGUAUCAUGUUUUAGAUCGUUAAAUGGGUAGGCAAAUACUAAGUUUGGAUAGGCAAAUUGUAGAAAAUGGAAGAUGGUGAUUUGUUGAAUGUGUGAAUAUUUGUUGAAUGGUUCUUUCUAUCUUAAUGCACAGAACUGAGAAAAUGUAUUCAUUUUACCAGAGAAUGCCCCGAAGGACUUGUAUUGAUUUAUCCGGGGAAUGCCCCGAAGUAUCAUGUACGAAGAGGAGGCUCGUGAUCAAGGCCCGAGGCAUCGUGUAAGGCAUUGGAGCGUAGUUUUAGGAUUAUCUUAGAAUCUGAUUUAUAUUUUCGCAUUUUUUUAUUUUUGGACAAUAUAUUUGGACUGGACACAAUAUUUUGGAUUUAUUUUAUUUUGUUUUA
This 1332-nucleotide long non-coding RNA is filed under the name Capsicum annuum. RNAcentral describes it as "long non-coding RNA (CANN_LNC004417)". The record is from RNAcentral. Lineage: Eukaryota; Viridiplantae; Streptophyta; Magnoliopsida; Solanales; Solanaceae.